GUGGCUUGCUUGUAGCUUUGUUGUCAUAAUCAGCGUGUCAUACCUACAUAUCGCACAGUGAACGGGAUAAUUGAACGUAUCCUUGUUGAAGUCCGUUGUGGGUACACACUACACAAUAUAAAAUCUUCAAAACCUACCAGCUUUAUCUGGCUAGUAUCUUUCGUAUCAGAAUUGUAUGAACUUUUCACCGCACAUGAAGAAGACAUUGCAAUAAAAGUAUGGAGGCUAUUUCGGACGACACGAUGUUAAAUGAACAAGUUCGUGUAUACGUCGAUGACAUCGUUGAUGCUGCCGUUAAAAUUGUAAAAGAAUGCAACGAUAGCGAGGAUAACAGAUCGCAAUUUGAACAAGAAAAAAACAUUCAAACGUGAGGGUUUUAAGAUUACCGCAUGUGCUUGUCUUUAGUUAUUUCUAACAAGGAACGACUUAACCGAAGAGACUCUGUGAAUUAUUAUUGUCAGUUACACGAAUUCAUUAUAGUUGAAUCAAUUAUUGUUUUACCGAUUCGAAAACAGCAACACACUCAUGUAUUUUAAGCAAAUGAGGUCAGCUAUUUACGGAACGUUCAUUUUGAUUUAUUUUGUAUUAUAUUUAUACCAUUUUGUGUUGUUAUUUUGCCUCAAAUUUGAUGUACAUGUAUCAUGAUUGUGACGUGAGUGAUAAUUUGUAUUUAAGAUGGAUGUAGUAUUCUAGAGGACAUGCCAAUUGAAACGUGACAUCUUAUCCGGCAUUUGCACGGGACGAUUGCUAUGCUGACAAGCGAAAAAUUUUCAAGAACACACGGAUGGAAAAUGAUUGAAUACGACGUCGAACAGACACUUUGCAUAUGGCAAAUGAGUUGAUAAUACAGUUUUUUUUACUUGUACGUUUGUUUAGCGUUUACAUAAAACAAAGCGGUUUCUCUUAUUGGCAUUAAAUGAAAGUUAAAUGCAUGGCUUAAACAAAUUUCUGCGUUUAAUGCAAAAAGUGUUAACGUGAUUUAAACAGAAAUAAAAUGUGUUUGAUUUGUUGA
Molecule: long non-coding RNA, 1012 nt
Organism: Dreissena polymorpha
Lineage: Eukaryota; Metazoa; Mollusca; Bivalvia; Myida; Dreissenidae
Exons: 2
Source: RefSeq, a predicted model, not a curated record